GUAAUUAAUAAAUGGUCUUCUUUCCCUCUCUAUCGUAUCUUUAUGGCCUAGAUCAUAUAUUUGACAAUUUAGCAAGAUAAUGGAAUGUUUAGGCUUAAAUUUUUUGGAUUCUAUUGAAAAAAAAAAUUGAAUGUAGAAUAUUUGUAUUUUGAUUAGCAUUUUUUCCACUUUUCAAUUGCAUGUGAAAUGAGAUUAUCUUAUAAAUGAGACCCUGUGACUCUUACUCAUCUUAUAAUUUUUCCUUACCAUGUGCCAAAUAGUGUCUAAUAAUCUUUUUUGGUGGUUGUGAUUAUAUUGACUCGAUGCUAGAUUAUUAAUUGCUCAGUCAAAGGGAGGAAAAAGCUUCAGUGAAAAAAUGAAUUGAAUUUGUAGUAAACAUGGAAAAUGUGUAAUUAACUUAUUAGCACUAGGCAAAAGAUAGGCAGAAUUUUUUAUUUAUAACAUAUGCAAAUAAAAUGCAUAACCUUUUCUUGAUUUUCCUAUAGCUUUGAAUUAAUGAUUCAAGCUUUUCUGUGAAGCAAAAUUGUGUUGGGUGGUUCCUCCGUGCAUGUACAUUACUAUUUAUUGGGACCUUUUGCUCUUUUGGUGGAGGGAACGAUGCAAAGGUUUCAUGAGAUUGUAGAGUUUUGACUAUUUUUUUGGGUGGUCUAGUUGGAGAGAAAUAGCAGCAUCUGUGAAGGUAAAAAGUGGGGUGGGGGUGGAUUUUUUUUAUGGAAUAUGAUUAGAUUUUAGGCAUCCUUGUAGGUGUCACAUAUUGAGGAUUUGAAAGAUUGUCCUUCUUGCUGAAUGGGACUGGGAUACAGCAGUUUCUAAGGUUAUUUUUCUGUUUUCUUUCUAUAAAAAUAAGUUAGACUGUCUAAGAUGCAAGCAAGGUGUUGUUUGCGAGGACAUAAUGCCAUUACCAUGUAGUAUCAAAACACCUUAGGCGUUACCAAUGCGGGAUUACCACAGUGGUUGUGGCCCUCCCCUUCCCCACUGCUUGGCACCCAGGAUCGAAACCUAAGGGUUUCUUUCCUCCCCAUGUAACCAAAAAAAAAAAAAACUCACCUUAGGCAUUUAAAGCCCUAUAGCAAUAAUGCUAUAAAUUUUCGGAGUGAGAAGGGUAAGAAUUAGCUAAAGGCUCUGUUUCGUUAGAUUUGUGCCUGCUUGAAUGGUUGAAAUUAGUUGAUAUGGAUAAAGUUUGUUGGUUUACCAUCAUUCCCAAACACUUAGGCUAUUUUGAUAUGGGCAGACAAUUAUUUCAUAUUCUAAACACCUCCUCCUCCAUUAGAGCCCAACAUGUGCAGUUCAACUUAAUAUUGGGACGUUGUAUUUCAGGAAUCAAACUUAGGAUCCCCUAUAUUGACUAAUUAGUUCUUAAAAUUACAAUAAACCCAACUUCUUCUGACAAAAUUGCAAUUAAUCAUUACGUUGACUUUAGGAUACGUGUGUCGAUUGAUACGGAUAUCCAAAAGUCAAUGGAUACGGAUUUGAAUUAUCGGACACAUAUCCAAAAAGUAUUGAGGGAGUAUUUGAGUAUCCAAUACAGACGUGUGGAUUUUUGGAGUAUCAGAGAAACAAAGGUGAUCUCCAAAAGGUAAAUAUGGAAGUUGGGUGGCUCCAGCGAAGAUUGGAUGAGAUCCUUAAGGCAAACUGGAGAAAGGAAAAUACACUACCAAUGAGAGAAGUUGUGGAACAGGAGUUUUGGUGUUUUAGAAACUCCAUUGUGAGUAAUGCAUACUAGUGAUCUCUCUCUCAGGUUACCUAUAGCCCAACAUAACUGAUGCAGGACGCAUAGGACCUAAAUUUAUUAGUUUCCUAAUAUAUUUGUUAGUUUCCUAGAUUCUCUAGUUUUCCAAAUUCUAGUAGGAUUUCUACUUUUCCAGAUUUCUAGUUUUAAGUUUCCUAUUUUAUUUGGGUUAGGAUUUCUGUUUAAGCAAGGGAUUUUUAUCCUAUUAUGUCUAGGUUUUAGUUUACUAUAAAUACCCCCAUUGAGUAAACCUUCUCUGAAAACUAUGUGAUUUCUGUUCUUCCUUCUCGGUUCUCUGAUUUUGGUCCUUAUUUUCGUCCCUUCGAUCUAUAUUUUCGUCUCCUCGGCCUCCUAUAUUCUUCUAUGUUAUAUUGUUUAAACAUUCACUAAUGGCCCAAAAAGCCCAAAAACUCAAGGUCGUGCCACAAGGUAUUCCAAAUCAGUCAACGGGACUAUCGAUUGACAUGCCCAAGGCUCAACUGGAGCCCAUCUUUUCUUUUGGUUCUAUGCCGCAGCUCAACUAUACCCAACAUACAAUGGGUUCUCCUCUGGUUGACGACAACAUUCUUGUCCCUACCCCGACCACACGACACGAACUUCAUGCACCAACACUUGGAUUUUGAGAUAGCCCGACACGCCCAGCCAGGUGUUUUUCCUGAACCAAGGCACUCUGGUAAUGACUUACGCACACAAUGGAUUCAGGGUCUAUCACACCCACACACACGCUUGCAUUCGUUGUCCGAUCAUGUUCGUCAUGGGUCUAGGCAGAGCUCUCUAUUUGCCAUUCUUACAAGGACUAAUGUUCCAUGCUUGCGGAACGGAUGGUUUCAAGGUGGCAAAUAUGAUGCUGAUCUUGAAGAACUACCGAACGCCACAUGCCUCUUCACACUUCCUUGGGAUUUUGAUUUUGUCGCUGUUUACUCGUCAGAGUCAAGUUCUUUUCGGCGGAGGAGAAUGAUGCAAGACA
Long non-coding RNA from Prunus dulcis (almond), 2696 nucleotides. RefSeq lists it as uncharacterized. Lineage: Eukaryota; Viridiplantae; Streptophyta; Magnoliopsida; Rosales; Rosaceae. The record is from RefSeq and is a predicted model, not a curated record. The transcript has 2 exons.